RNAcentral lists this ribosomal RNA (226 nucleotides) under uncultured bacterium. Its description in RNAcentral is "partial 16S ribosomal RNA". It matches the Rfam family "Bacterial small subunit ribosomal RNA", at positions 111 to 334 of the family's 1533-position model. The record is from RNAcentral.
UAACGCGUGGGAACCGUACCCUACUACAGGGGGGUAACAGACUGGAAACGGGUGCUAAUACCGCAUAAGCGCACAGAAUCGCAUGAUUCAGUGUGAAAAGACCCUGGCAGUAUAGGAUGGUCCCGCGUCUGAUUAGCUGGUUGGUGAGGUAACGGCUCACCAAGGCGACGAUCAGUAGCCGGCUUGAGAGAGUGAACGGCCACAUUGGGACUGAGACACGGCCCAA